Molecule: ribosomal RNA, 459 nt
Filed under: uncultured bacterium
Lineage: Bacteria
Description: partial 16S ribosomal RNA
Rfam family: Bacterial small subunit ribosomal RNA
Source: RNAcentral
CCUACGGGAGGCAGCAGUGAGGAAUAUUGGUCAAUGGUCGGGAGACUGAACCAGCCAAGCCGCGUGAGGGAUGAAGGUACAGAGUAUCGUAAACCUCUUUUGUCAGGGAACAAAGGCGGGGACGUGUCCCCGGAUGAGUGUACCUGAAGAAAAAGCAUCGGCUAACUCCGUGCCAGCAGCCGCGGUAAUACGGAGGAUGCGAGCGUUAUCCGGAUUUAUUGGGUUUAAAGGGUGCGCAGGUGGUCUGUUAAGUCAGAGGUAAAAGCCCGGGGCUCAACCCCGGCCCGCCGUUGAAACUGGCAGUCUCGAGUUGGAGAGAAGUAUGCGGAAUGCGCGGUGUAGCGGUGAAAUGCAUAGAUAUCGCGCAGAACUCCGAUUGCGAAGGCAGCAUGCCGGCUCCACACUGACGCUGAGGCACGAAAGCGUGGGUAUCGAACAGGAUUAGAUACCCGUGUAGUC